RNAcentral lists this transfer RNA (57 nucleotides) under Tetragnatha macilenta. RNAcentral's name for it is "tRNA-Ser". Lineage: Eukaryota; Metazoa; Arthropoda; Arachnida; Araneae; Tetragnathidae. The record is from RNAcentral.
UAUGGUUUUUGUUAAGUGUUUUGAAAACACUUGUUAAGGGUAAAAUUUCCUUAAAAG